CCUGGCCCCGGCUCCUUCACCUCAGUGUUCCCGUCUUUGCCUUCAGUUGGUUCUGACUGUGUUCUUAUAAACCCUCUCCCGAGGUGACGUCAGCGCUGAUUCUGUGGGUGGUUGAGAAGGGCCUGACUGUGGCUGUCCUUCACACUGUAGGUCACAGAAGUUCAACUUCUGCACAGCCCCAUUUCUCUGCCUUGUCCCUUCUCCGUGUGUGAGUGUGUGCCUGUGUGUGCACAGGUGAGAAGCUGCCACCAAGGAUGUGCAUAUGCGCUUGUGUAGGUCAGGGGUCACCCUCGGAUGUUACUGUCCUUGUCUUUUUCUGAGACCGGGUAUAUUGAUGAGACCUGGGGCUCACUAUUAGGAUGGCUGGCAGGCUGUUCCAGGGAACUAUUGUGGGUUUAAAGUAGGUGCUAGGGGGCGGGAGGGGGAGGGUACCCAGGUCCUCUUGUUUGCAGCAAGUGAUUUGCCAACAGAGGUAUUACUCCAGCCUUUUACUAGUUGGUUUAUUUUUUAUUUACUAGUUGACUUAUUAGCUUGUCCAGACAGGUUUUCACACAGUAGCCCAGCCUGGCACAAACUCACAGCAGUCCUGCCUCAGCCGUUGGGAUUACAGGUGCCAAUGCAUAGAGACUUUGAUUCCUUCUCAACACCAUACCGAGUUCUUGUCUUGAUUCCAACUUCUCGGGUCUUACCAGCAUUCCCUCAGACUGCAGCUCACUGCGAAGCAGCCCAUUCCCUGUCCCCAUAAGGAGCGAGAUCUCUGCUUCAGCACCUCUGCUUCUCUUAACUUGAGUCUCCUUGUGACAGGGAGUUGAAGGUUCUCACUUCAACACUAUGCCCACUAUCUGUAUAUAUUAUGUACAAGCAAUGUAUAUAAUAAAUGUAAGGCCAGCA
Molecule: long non-coding RNA, 891 nt
Organism: Mus musculus (house mouse)
Lineage: Eukaryota; Metazoa; Chordata; Mammalia; Rodentia; Muridae
Product: predicted gene, 35816
Exons: 2
Source: RefSeq, a predicted model, not a curated record